Molecule: ribosomal RNA, 540 nt
Filed under: uncultured bacterium
Lineage: Bacteria
Description: bacterial SSU rRNA
Rfam family: Bacterial small subunit ribosomal RNA
Source: RNAcentral
AGAGUUUGAUCAUGGCUCAGAAUCAACGCUGGCGGCGUGCCUAACACAUGCAAGUCGAACGCUGCUAACCCCGCAAGGGGUUAGCGGAGUGGCAAACGGGUGAGUAACACGUGGGUGACCUGCUUUCGAGUGGGGGAUAACGUCCCGAAAGGGACGCUAAUACCGCAUAACAUCCCGCCUUUGAACAGGUGGAGAUCAAAGCUGGGGACCGCAAGGCCUAGCGCUCAAAGAGGGGCCCGCGCCUGAUUAGCUAGUUGGUGGGGUAAUGGCUCACCAAGGCAACGAUCAGUAUCCGGCCUGAGAGGGCGGACGGACACACUGGGACUGAGACACGGCCCAGACUCCUACGGGAGGCAGCAGUGGGGAAUUGUUCGCAAUGGGCGCAAGCCUGACGACGCAACGCCGCGUGGAGGAUGAAGACCUUCGGGUCGUAAACUCCUUUCGAUCGAGACGAAUGGCCUUUGGGUUAAUAGCCUGAGGGAGUGACGGUACCGAGAGAAGAAGCCCCGGCUAACUCCGUGCCAGCCGCCGCGGUAAUUC